Molecule: non-coding RNA, 29 nt
Filed under: Mus musculus (house mouse)
Lineage: Eukaryota; Metazoa; Chordata; Mammalia; Rodentia; Muridae
Source: RNAcentral
UGGGAAUUUGAGUAAGACUUGAGAAAAAA